This 253-nucleotide ribosomal RNA is filed under the name uncultured bacterium. RNAcentral describes it as "partial 16S ribosomal RNA". It matches the Rfam family "Bacterial small subunit ribosomal RNA", at positions 524 to 776 of the family's 1533-position model. The record is from RNAcentral.
UACGGAGGGUGCAAGCGUUAUCCGGAUUCACUGGGUUUAAAGGGUGCGUAGGUGGGUUGAUAAGUCAGUGGUGAAAGCCCAUCGCUCAACGGUGGAACGGCCAUUGAUACUGCAAGACUUGAAUUAUUAGGAAGUAACUAGAAUAUGUAGUGUAGCGGUGAAAUGCUUAGAGAUUACAUGGAAUACCAAUUGCGAAGGCAGGUUACUACUAAUGGAUUGACGCUGAUGGACGAAAGCGUGGGUAGCGAACAGG